UCUCCACUUUCAGACUUAGAUGAAAUAGCAUUAAAGAUGAUACAAGAUGGCCACACGUAUAUGACUGGUGCGACUCAGCCCUGCUCCUCCUGUUUUUCCCUCCAGCUGGCUGGCUCAGGAAUACUCUCACAGUGAUGGCAGAAGAGCAAAUCUGGAAGUUCAAACACUCAAAUGUGUUGUUGGAUUUCUGCAUGCAUCACAUGGGCUAACAACUGGUCAAAGCAAAUCACAUGGCCAAACUAAAAAUCAAAGGCCUGGAAGAAACCUGGACCCCCAACAAAAAGACCUGUUGACAUGUAGACCUCAGAUAAGGGAGAACUGAGGAUUGAGCUCUGAUCACAAUUCUUUUUUCUACUGUUCUUCCUGAGGGGCCUGGAGGAAGUCACAUCCACAAGCCAGAGCUAACCCUUUUUCUGCUGACCCCAAAUUUUUAAACAAAGCUUCUUUUCCUUAACCAAUUGCAAAUCAGAAAAUCUUCAAAUUUGCCUAAGACCUGUAAGCUUCUGCUUCAAUAUGUCACACCUUUUCUUAGGCCAAACCAAUGUAUAAACUCCGUGUAUUAAUUUAGACUGUAACUUCUGCACUCCUGAAAAUUUCCCCCGGCUUUGAAAACCCUUUCUUGUAAGCCAGCCGGGAGUCUGGGUCUUAAACAUGAGCUGCCUGAUUGUCCUUGCUUGGUGCCCUGCAAUAAAUGCCUGAUUGUUGUGGUGCAGUUUGGAUGUCAGUAUUUCGCUUUGCUGGACCACGGAGGCCGACCUAUGUUUGGUUCAUUCACUAACAUAAGGAAGUGGAUUCUGCUAAAACACAGUGAGCUUAGAACUGAAUGCUGAGACUCUCUGAUGAGAUCAUAGCUCGGCUGACAUUUUUAUUUUAGCUUGGUUGAGACUAUAAGCAGAGAACCCUGCCCAGAAUCCCUACUCAAGGAAACUGAGAUAAUAAAUUUUCAUUGUUCUAAGCCACUGUUUGUAAUAGUUCCUUACACAACAACAAUAAUAAUAAGAGUAAUAAAAACUAAUUCACUUGCUUUCAUGGAACUUACGAUUAUUAAGUGAGACACAUUAUGAAUAUCUGCCCAAAAAGUAAAUAAUACAAUUUCAGAAAAAUAAGUGCUUUGGAGUACAUUAAUAUAGGUGAGGUGUAAGAGAAGGUGAAUAGUGUCUCAAUGAUAGAAGUGUGGAUACCAAAACACUAUUAAACCCACCCAGUUUUUUCAUACACAUUUCUGUUGGAUGAACAUAGAAAUUGACCCUUCUGGGCUUUAAGCUUGAAACUUACGUUUGUUUUAUCUGAGUUCCUUCCCCAGGAAAGGAUCCCAAAGGCCUCUAAAAAAGUAUACAAAAACCUGAAACUAACCAGAUUAUUGCAUUCAGAUGAUGAGAUGCCAGGACCCUCAUUCAUCAUGAUUGUUCCUUAUCCUCCCUGCGUUCCCCACACAGUUACAUUUCUUCCCUGCUAUAUAAACCCCUAAUUGUAUUCAGUCAGGAAGAUGGGUUCGAGACUGAUCUCUCAUCUCCUCAGCUGCAUCACCUGAUUAAAGCCUUCUUUUUUGGCAAUGCUCAUCCUCUCAGUCAUUGGUUUUCUGUGCAGUGAACAGCAGGACCUAGACUGAACUCCUGGUAUUUUGGUAACAACUGCAAGAAGGCUCAAAUUGCUGAAAUUCAAAGGAAGUCAACACAUUGUAAGAAGAGCCAAGAGGGUACAUGGCAGAGCAGAAUUUGACACAUUAUAAGAUGAGCCAGGAGGGUAUAUGGCAGAGCCAAGAGGGUACAUGGCUAGAGGUGUCGUAAGGGAGUCUGCUAGGGGAGAGUCUGGACAGGAAGGAAAGGGUCAGAUAAUGAAAGAUCAUGGCAGUAAUUCAUUUCUACAUUUUGAAACUUAAUAAUCUAUUUUUUAUAAUUUUAAAAGCAUUGACCAUUUUUGAGAGAGAAUUUCUGUAGCUUGUUUAGUGUUUUCAAACUCUGUUAAUAUACUUAUUUUUCUAACUAAUCUUCAGUUAAUUUUGAUGAUGUAUUUUAUUUUUACACAGCCGACUAUUUAAUUGUUGUACCCAACUUUACAUAUAAUUGUACACUGAGCUCCAAUUAUCUGUAUAUAAUUGGGAAUCAAAGCCUGUGAGUGACACUUUGUUUUCUGAGUGAUCUUUGGAAUUAAUUAACAUUGAUACUGUGUUUCUGAUUUUCUAUGUAUUAGCGUUAUGCUUGGGUCAUCAGAGAUUUAUUCUUAUUCUACUUUGUGGUUAUCUUGUAUUUAACAACUCUAUGUAGCUAAUCCCUAAUUGAAUCAAUUGUUAUCAUUUCAUCAUAAUAAAAUAAUCAUCAGUAACAAGGCGUGCUGGAGCUACUGGCGUGCAUUGGCUUACAAAAGACCACCAUGGACAUUAUUUCCCAACUCCCUUAUCAGUGGUGCCAUCUUGAGAGUUUGAAAUUGUCAACAGUGGAAAUAGUUGUAUCACAAAAUCAGCAAAUAUUACAAUAAUAGGUUUUGUUUCCUCAGAAAGACAGUUAAAUUUUACUAGCAUACCAGUGAUGAGACACAACCUUUCUGUAUGUCAAUUUAUAAAAAUUUCAACAUGAG
RNAcentral lists this long non-coding RNA (2574 nucleotides) under Homo sapiens (human). RNAcentral describes it as "HSALNT0271904". Lineage: Eukaryota; Metazoa; Chordata; Mammalia; Primates; Hominidae. The record is from RNAcentral.